This 253-nucleotide ribosomal RNA is filed under the name uncultured bacterium. Its description in RNAcentral is "partial 16S ribosomal RNA". It matches the Rfam family "Bacterial small subunit ribosomal RNA", at positions 524 to 776 of the family's 1533-position model. The record is from RNAcentral.
UACGUAGGGUGCGAGCGUUGUCCGGAAUUAUUGGGCGUAAAGGGCUCGUAGGCGGUUUGUCGCGUCGGGAGUGAAAACCUUGGGCUUAACUCAGGGCUUGCUUUCGAUACGGGCAGACUAGAGGUAUGCAGGGGAGAACGGAAUUCCUGGUGUAGCGGUGAAAUGCGCAGAUAUCAGGAGGAACGCCGGUGGCGAAGGCGGUUCUCUGGGCAUGAUCUGACGCUGAGGAGCGAAAGUGUGGGGAGCGAACAGG